AGUGAACGCUGGCGGUAGGCCUAACACAUGCAAGUCGAACGGCAGCACAGUAAGAGCUUGCUCUUACGGGUGGCGAGUGGCGGACGGGUGAGGAAUACAUCGGAAUCUACUUUUUCGUGGGGGAUAACGUAGGGAAACUUACGCUAAUACCGCAUACGACCUACGGGUGAAAGCAGGGGAUCUUCGGACCUUGCGCGAUUGAAUGAGCCGAUGUCGGAUUAGCUAGUUGGCGGGGUAAAGGCCCACCAAGGCGACGAUCCGUAGCUGGUCUGAGAGGAUGAUCAGCCACACUGGAACUGAGACACGGUCCAGACUCCUACGGGAGGCAGCAGUGGGGAAUAUUGGACAAUGGGCGCAAGCCUGAUCCAGCCAUACCGCGUGGGUGAAGAAGGCCUUCGGGUUGUAAAACCCUUUUGUUGGGAAAGAAAAGCAGCAGGUUAAUACCCCGCUGUUCCGACGGUACCCAAAGAAUAAGCACCGGCUAACUUCGUG
This 492-nucleotide ribosomal RNA is filed under the name uncultured bacterium. Its description in RNAcentral is "partial 16S ribosomal RNA". It matches the Rfam family "Bacterial small subunit ribosomal RNA", at positions 29 to 507 of the family's 1533-position model. The record is from RNAcentral.